ACCCAUUCUAGCAUUCACUCAGUCAAAAGAAAUGAAGCUGUGGCUGAAUCUGCUGCAUCACAGGAAGUUUUGGCAGUUUUGGAGGAACAAGAAAGGGAAGCGUCAGAACUUCAAAGGCUAGAGGUUGAAAGUAGACAACAUUUAGCACAAUUUGAAUGUGAGGACCUGGCUAGACAACAAGCAAUGCGGGACAAGCGAAGAAAGCUUGAACGCUUAGAAGAAGUGAAGAAGUUGAACGCUGCCAGAGCUCGAGUAAAGGUCUACGAUCAAGUGGAAAGAAAUUUUGAUGCGACUUAUUCGCUGCAUGGUGCUGAAUCAACCGGAAAACUUCAGGUUCCUACUUUCAUAAGUCCUCCUUUUAUUCCCCAGUCUCUGCCAGCAACAGCCCAAAUGCUCCAAGCCUCAAAGCCUCCAUUCAUUUCUCAAACCUUACCAGUUGCAAGUCAAGUGCAUAAUGCUCAGUCUCUGCAACGGGCAUCUCAAACUUCAGCCUCAAUGCUUAUGCCUCAAUUGCAAAAUAGCUCUGAUUUGGUCAGUGCACUAGCAGAAGCUAUGAGUGGCAAUCGUCUUCCAGUGCCAGAGCCUGCAGUGUUUACUGGAGACCCUUUAAAAUUCAAAGAUUGGCGCCUAUCUUUCGAAACAUUAAUUGACAGGAAGAAUAUUCCGAAGAACGAAAAACUAUAUUACUUAAGAAAGUACUUAGGUGGUGCUGCAAAAAAAACUGUUGAAGGAUUCUUCUUACUAGGUACUGAAGCUGCAUACGACUCUGCCUGGAAGCUGUUGGAGAAACGCUAUGGAGACCCACUUAUAAUUGGAAAGUCCUUCAGAGACAAGCUGCAUGGAUGGCAAAAAAUAAGUUCUAAAGAUGGUUGUGAACUAAGAGAGUUUACUGAUUUCCUUAAGAGCUGUGAGGCCGCAAUGCCCCACCUGAAGACAUUGGAAGUUCUCAAUGACUGCAAUGAGAAUCAAAAGAUCCUGCAGAAGUUGCCAGAUUGGUUAGUAUCCAGAUGGAAUCGCAAAGUGAUGGAAGCCCGUGAAGCACAUGCUGGUUACCCACAAUUCACAGAGUUUUUAGACUUUCUAACAAAGGAAGCUGAUCUCGCUUGCGAUCCUAUAUCUUC
This 1121-nucleotide long non-coding RNA is filed under the name Carassius auratus (goldfish). Its description in RNAcentral is "lncRNA (ENSCARG00000018381.1)". Lineage: Eukaryota; Metazoa; Chordata; Actinopteri; Cypriniformes; Cyprinidae. The record is from RNAcentral.